UACGAAGGGGGCUAGCGUUGUUCGGAAUUAUUGGGCGUAAAGCGCGCGCAGGCGGCUUGGAAAGUCGGGUGUUUAAGCUCGGGGCUCAACCCCGAUACGCACCCGAAACUGCCAGGCUUGAGUGCAGAAGAGGAAAGUGGAAUUCCACGUGUAGCGGUGAAAUGCGUAGAGAAUGUGGAGGAACACCAGUGGCGAAGGCGACUUUCUGGGCUGUAACUGACGCUGAGGCGCGAAAGCGUGGGGAGCAAACAGG
This 253-nucleotide ribosomal RNA is filed under the name uncultured bacterium. RNAcentral's name for it is "partial 16S ribosomal RNA". It matches the Rfam family "Bacterial small subunit ribosomal RNA", at positions 524 to 776 of the family's 1533-position model. The record is from RNAcentral.